This 497-nucleotide ribosomal RNA is filed under the name uncultured bacterium. RNAcentral describes it as "partial 16S ribosomal RNA". It matches the Rfam family "Bacterial small subunit ribosomal RNA", at positions 28 to 507 of the family's 1533-position model. The record is from RNAcentral.
GACGAACGCUGGCGGCGUGCCUAAUACAUGCAAGUUGAGCGCUGAAGGUUGGUACUUGUACCAACUGGAUGAGCAGCGAACGGGUGAGUAACGCGUGGGGAAUCUGCCUUUGAGCGGGGGACAACAUUUGGAAACGAAUGCUAAUACCGCAUAAAAACUUUAAACACAAGUUUUAAGUUUGAAAGAUGCAAUUGCAUCACUCAAAGAUGAUCCCGCGUUGUAUUAGUUAGUUGGUGAGGUAAAGGCUCACCAAGGCGAUGAUACAUAGCCGACCUGAGAGGGUGAUCGGCCACAUUGAGACUGAGACACGGCCCAAACGCCUAGGGGAGGCAGCAGUAGGGAAUCUUCGGCAAUGGGCGAGAGUCUGACCGAGCAACGCCGCGUGAGUGAGGAAGGUUUUCGGAUCGUAAAACUCUGUUGGUAGAGAAGAACGUUGGUGAGAGUGGAAAGCUCAUCAAGUGACGGUAACUACCCAGAAAGGGACGGCUAACUACGUG